This 446-nucleotide ribosomal RNA is filed under the name uncultured bacterium. RNAcentral's name for it is "bacterial SSU rRNA". It matches the Rfam family "Bacterial small subunit ribosomal RNA", at positions 28 to 490 of the family's 1533-position model. The record is from RNAcentral.
GACGAACGCUGGCGGCGUGCUUAACACAUGCAAGUCGAACGGAAAGGCCCCUUCGGGGGUACUCGAGUGGCGAACGGGUGAGUAACACGUGGGCAACCUGCCCUCAGCUUCGGGAUAACACUUGGAAACAGGUGCUAAUACCGGAUAAUAACUUGUCAUCGCAUGGUGGUGGGUUCAAAGUUUUUCGGCUGAGGAUGGGCCCGCGGCCUAUCAGCUUGUUGGUGGGGUAAUGGCCUACCAAGGCGACGACGGGUAGCCGGCCUGAGAGGGCGACCGGCCACACUGGGACUGAGACACGGCCCAGACUCCUACGGGAGGCAGCAGUGGGGAAUAUUGCGCAAUGGGCGGAAGCCUGACGCAGCGACGCCGCGUGAGGGAUGACGGCCUUCGGGUUGUAAACCUCUUUCAGCUCUGACGAAGCGCAAGUGACGGUAGAGCAGAAGAAG